GGACAAACGCUGGCGGCGUGCUUAACACAUGCAAGUCGAACGGUACUCCUACGGGAGGUAUAGUGGCGGACGGGUGAGUAACACGUAGCUAAUCUACCCUGAUGUGGGGAAUAACCCCUCGAAAGAGGAGCUAAGACCGCAUAAGUUCUCUCUUGUUAGAGAGAGAAGAAACUUUGGCGAAGUGAAAAGCCAGAGGCGUUAGGAUGAGGCUGCGGCGGAUUUAGCUUAGAGUGGUAGGGGAAAAGCCUACCAUGGCGACGAUCCGUAGCUGGUCUGAGAGGACG
Molecule: ribosomal RNA, 284 nt
Filed under: uncultured bacterium
Lineage: Bacteria
Description: partial 16S ribosomal RNA
Rfam family: Bacterial small subunit ribosomal RNA
Source: RNAcentral